CUUAGUAGCGGCGAGUGAGCGGCAAUAGCUCAAAUUUGAAAUCUGGCACCUUCGGUGUCCGAGUUGUAAUUUGAAGAAGGUAUCUUUGGUUUUGGCUCUUGUCUAUGUUCCUUGGAACAGGACGUCACAGAGGGUGAGAAUCCCGUGCGAUGAGAUGCCCAAUUCCAUGUAAAGUUCCUUCGACGAGUCGAGUUGUUUGGGAAUGCAGCUCUAAGUGGGUGGUAAAUUCCAUCUAAAGCUAAAUAUUGGCGAGAGACCGAUAGCGAACAAGUACUGUGAAGGAAAGAUGAAAAGAACUUUGAAAAGAGAGUGAAAAAGUACGUGAAAUUGUUGAAAGGGAAGGGCUUGAGAUUAGACUUGGAAUUUUCCAUUUAUGGAGCUUUCCGGGCCAGCAUCAGUUUGGAUGGCAGGAUAAUUGCGUUGGAAAGUAGCACCACUUCGGUGGUGUGUUAUAGACUUCGUCGAUACUGCCUAUCUAGACUGAGGACCGCGUCUUUGACUAGGAUGCUGGCGUAAUGAUCUUAAGACGCCCGUCUUGAAACA
This 543-nucleotide ribosomal RNA is filed under the name Yamadazyma membranifaciens. RNAcentral describes it as "eukaryotic LSU rRNA". It matches the Rfam family "Eukaryotic large subunit ribosomal RNA", at positions 79 to 661 of the family's 3401-position model. Lineage: Eukaryota; Fungi; Ascomycota; Pichiomycetes; Serinales; Debaryomycetaceae. The record is from RNAcentral.